AGGAAUAUUGGUCAAUGGGCGCUAGCCUGAACCAGCCAAGUAGCGUGAAGGAUGAAGGCUCUAUGGGUCGUAAACUUCUUUUAUAUAAGAAUAAAGUGCAGUAUGUAUACUGUUUUGUAUGUAUUAUAUGAAUAAGGAUCGGCUAACUCCGUGCCAGCAGCCGCGGUAAUACGGAGGAUCCGAGCGUUAUCCGGAUUUAUUGGGUUUAAAGGGAGCGUAGGCGGGUUGUUAAGUCAGUUGUGAAAGUUUGCGGCUCAACCGUAAAAUUGCAGUUGAUACUGGCGACCUUGAGUGCAACAGAGGUAGGCGGAAUUCGUGGUGUAGCGGUGAAAUGCUUAGAUAUCACGAAGAACUCCGAUUGCGAAGGCAGCUUACUGGAUUGUAACUGACGCUGAUGCUCGAAAGUGUGGGUAUCAAACAGGAUUAGAUACCCUGGUAGUCCACACAGUAAACGAUGAAUACUCGCUGUUGGCGAUAUACAGUCAGCGGCCAAGCGAAAGCAUUAAGUAUUCCACCUGGGGAGUACGCCGGCAACGGUGAAACUCAAAGGAAUUGACGGGGGCCCGCACAAGCGGAGGAACAUGUGGUUUAAUUCGAUGAUACGCGAGGAACCUUACCCGGGCUUAAAUUGCAACUGACUGAACCGGAAACGGUUCUUUCUUCGGACAGUUGUGAAGGUGCUGCAUGGUUGUCGUCAGCUCGUGCCGUGAGGUGUCGGCUUAAGUGCCAUAACGAGCGCAACCCUUAUCGAUAGUUACUAGCAGGUCAUGCUGAGGACUCUAUUGAGACUGCCGUCGUAAGAUGUGAGGAAGGUGGGGAUGACGUCAAAUCAGCACGGCCCUUACGUCCGGGGCUACACACGUGUUACAAUGGGGGGUACAGAAGGCAGCUACACGGCGACGUGGUGCUAAUCCCGAAAGCCUCUCUCAGUUCGGAUUGGAGUCUGCAACCCGACUCCAUGAAGCUGGAUUCGCUAGUAAUCGCGCAUCAGCCACGGCGCGGUGAAUACGUUCCCG
This 1016-nucleotide ribosomal RNA is filed under the name uncultured bacterium. Its description in RNAcentral is "bacterial SSU rRNA". It matches the Rfam family "Bacterial small subunit ribosomal RNA", at positions 357 to 1376 of the family's 1533-position model. The record is from RNAcentral.